AGCCUUCUAUAUCCAUGCUAAGAUUUCGUCAGUGAUCAACCCACUGGGGCUGAUACAACUUCCCGAAUAAGUGAAGUA
Molecule: microRNA precursor, 78 nt
Filed under: Trichobilharzia regenti
Lineage: Eukaryota; Metazoa; Platyhelminthes; Trematoda; Strigeidida; Schistosomatidae
Description: mir-3492 microRNA precursor family
Rfam family: mir-3492 microRNA precursor family
Source: Rfam by way of RNAcentral